CGGUCGGCCCCGCCCCCCAGGGCGGAACCCGCGGGGCGCGGGCUGUGGGGUAGGGGCUAUAGCGCCCCGGCUAUGUUGCUGGGUGCUGGUUCCGCUAGCCUUUCCGUUUGCGGCUUGUUGGCUUUUUCCAGUCUCUCUUCUUUUCAGGUUCUCAGAGAGGGCCGGGCGGUGGCUUCUGCCUGGUGACUCUUGAGCUGCUUGUUUCUAAAAUGGAUGGAAACGUGCUAAAGUUUCUUCGUCUUCAAGGAAUGGGGAAAAUGGGAGCACUACUGCGCCGGGAGGUUUUUUACCUCUCCCCUCACCCUGGCGUAAACCGAAGCAGGAGCAGCCAGAGGAAAAAGGCAAACCUCCACGUACUCUGCACAGGUUUCCUUCGCCCUCCGGAACCGCGCCCGACAGCACCUCUAAACGCUUUCCAUCCGCUGCUUGAGGAAGACAAAAAGACAAGUUUGCCAGUCACCCCUCACCCGGCCACAAAUUGAAAAUAAGAGGUCAGAGCGGUUCCCGGUUCCAAACAAAAUAUAUGAGAAUAAAUAUUAGAAAGCAAUAACUGUCCCCACCCCGUAUAAAGGAUCAUUUUGCAAGACUAUUACGUACCGUUCUGUAAGGUUCUUGGGACAGCAGUGUCCUAUUUUUUAAACAAAGAACUGCAUAUUUUUUGAUCCUAAAGGUCUUAAGCUUCUGAAGGGCUACGUCUGGGAGCUUUAAGAAAUUAAAGAAAGAAUUGAACAUGGUUUUAGGGGGCGGGGUGGGAGAAAGAAUCUUAACUCCAACCUUUGGGGUCCUGAUUGAUGGUGCCACCAGAGGGAUCGUACUCACAGUUAAUGGCGUUGAUUUACCUAAACUGAUGAGUUCAGACUGAGCCAUGGCAGCAACAUUUCUGUCUCUGUCAAAAAUACAAUCUGAAAGAUUUGCUAGAUUUUUAGGAAUUUAUCUUACAGAUAAUCUGACACAAGGAAGUAUAAAGGUAUUUAUUGUAUUGUUUUUAGCAAUGGAAAAUAAAUAAUCUGUGUCCACCAAUAAGGAAAUGGUUAAAGAAAUAGUUAAGUAAGUUAUAUGUUAGGAUUUGGCAUACAUUGCAGGCACGAAAAGUAACGAUCAGUAGCUAUUCAAAUACUGGAAAAGGCGAGUUUUAGAAUGACUACAGUAUCCUAUAAAUAUAUAUCAGCAUAAAAAAUUUCAGGAUAGAUGCAUAAAAAGUGUGAACAGUUAUUUACAGGAGUGGCAAAUAGGGGUGGUAAGAGAUGGAGGUUUUUUACUUUUCACUUUAUAACCAGCCGAAUUUCUUAAAUAAUAAGAAUGUUUUACUUUUGGAAUUUUGUUUUUAAAUAAGAUUGUUAGAAAUUGAGUAUAUUCUGGAAACAGAAUUCGAUUUAAUAAAUGUAUAAAUUACAAUGUUUGGAUAGUCUGCGUUCAUUCAUCAAUUCCUUC
RNAcentral lists this long non-coding RNA (1431 nucleotides) under Marmota monax (woodchuck). Lineage: Eukaryota; Metazoa; Chordata; Mammalia; Rodentia; Sciuridae. The record is from RNAcentral.